CGCGUAGGCGGACUAUUAAGUUGGUGGUGAAAUUCCGAGGCUCAACCUCGGAACUGCCUCCAAAACUGGUGGUCUUGAGGUAUGGAGAGGGAAGUGGAAUUCCAGGUGUAGCGGUGAAAUGCGUAGAUAUCUGGAGGAACACCUGUGGCGAAGGCGGCUCACUGGACCAUUACUGACGCUGAUGCACGAAAGCUAGGGGAGCAAACAGGAUUAGAUACCCUGGUAGUCCUAGCCCUAAACGAUGAUCGCUUGGUGUGACAGGUACCCAAUCCUGUCGUGCCGGAGCUAACGCGUUAAGCGAUCCGCCUGGGGAGUACGGUCGCAAGGCUGAA
This 332-nucleotide ribosomal RNA is filed under the name uncultured bacterium. Its description in RNAcentral is "bacterial SSU rRNA". It matches the Rfam family "Bacterial small subunit ribosomal RNA", at positions 568 to 898 of the family's 1533-position model. The record is from RNAcentral.